GCAAAGUACAGUUUUGCACUGUUUAUAUUUAACGUUUAACCAUUCAUCUUAUUUGAAAAUUUUUUAUAAUUAGUAUUCUUAUUUUUUAUUAGAUGAUAAAACAUUAAUAAUACUUUAUGUGUGACUAUUUUUUUUAUUUUUUAUAAAUGUUUUAAAUAAGACGGACGGACAAACGUUGGACACGGAUCCCCACAACUGUACUUAUU
This is a microRNA precursor of Oryza sativa Japonica Group (Japanese rice), 206 nucleotides long. It matches the Rfam family "MIR812 microRNA precursor family". The record is from Rfam. NCBI's taxonomy places the organism in Eukaryota, Viridiplantae, Streptophyta, Magnoliopsida, Poales, Poaceae.